Megalobrama amblycephala (Wuchang bream) is the source of this 596-nucleotide non-coding RNA. Lineage: Eukaryota; Metazoa; Chordata; Actinopteri; Cypriniformes; Xenocyprididae. The record is from the annotation of a RefSeq genome assembly.
AUGACCUUCAUCAUCAUCUUCAUCUGGACUCUCACAGCGUUUGCUCAAGAGUGUAGAGGACAGAUCACCGUCACUCAGAGUCCCUCAAUGACAGCAGCUCAACCAGGACAAACUGUGAACAUCAACUGUAAAACCAGCAGUAAUGUGUACAAAUAUAGUGAUGGGGAUGAAACUUUAGCCUGGUACUUACAGAAACAUGGAGAAGCUCCUAAACUCCUGAUUUAUUAUGCAAAAAAACUCCAGUCAGGAACUCCAUCUAGAUUCAGUGGCAGUGGAUCUAACAGUGAUUUCACUCUGACCAUCAGUGGAGUCCAGACUGAAGAUGCUGGACAUUAUUACUGUCAGAGUUUCCACUGCAGAACAGAUUAUCGUGGUAAUUGUGCAGGUGACUGUGUUCACACAGUGAUAAAGAGUCGUACAAAAACCUCCGUCAGUCAGAGUCACAGUGACUGAACUGAUACUGCAGCUGCUCACACACUUUCACACACUUUCACACACUUUCACACACACUCAACAGCAGAAACACAAAUAUGAUCUUAAUAAUAGCUUUGUUGAGCUUCAUCAGUAUUUCUUCAGAUAAUUAGAAAUUAUUUUGA